GAAGCACGCCAGACCGCCGCUGGUGCAUGUGCCGAAAGGCCGCACUGGAGGAACGUCCGGACUGCAAAGGACAGCGUAGCAGCUAACGGCUGCCCACCGUGAGGUGAGGAUCAGAGCAACAGAGACGAGCCGAUUCAGUUCGGGUGAAACGGGCAAUCUCUACGCGCAGCAAUACCAAGUAGGCCAGCGUUGAUGUGGUUCCGCAGAGCUGGCGGGUAGGUAGCAUCGAGCCGUGGUGGCGACACCCGGCCCAGAUUAAUGGCGGUCACGUUGCGGGCAACCGCAAUGCACAGAAUCCGGCUUAUCGGCGGGCUUCACAC
This 320-nucleotide RNase P RNA is filed under the name Diaphorobacter aerolatus. Its description in RNAcentral is "Bacterial RNase P class A". It matches the Rfam family "Bacterial RNase P class A". From Rfam's summary of the family: Ribonuclease P (RNase P) is a ubiquitous endoribonuclease, found in archaea, bacteria and eukarya as well as chloroplasts and mitochondria. Its best characterised activity is the generation of mature 5'-ends of tRNAs by cleaving the 5'-leader elements of precursor-tRNAs. Lineage: Bacteria; Pseudomonadati; Pseudomonadota; Betaproteobacteria; Burkholderiales; Comamonadaceae. The record is from Rfam by way of RNAcentral.